UCUAACUUUAACUGUCCGUCUUAUAUAAAAUUUUUUUAUAAUUCGUAUUUUCAUUGUUGUUAGAUGAUAAAACAUGAUUAAUAUUUUAUGCGUGACUUAUCUUUUUAAUUUUUUUAAAUAAGACAGACGGUUAAAUGUUAGACAUGAAAAUCAGCG
RNAcentral lists this microRNA precursor (156 nucleotides) under Oryza nivara. Its description in RNAcentral is "MIR812 microRNA precursor family". It matches the Rfam family "MIR812 microRNA precursor family", at positions 27 to 189 of the family's 205-position model. Lineage: Eukaryota; Viridiplantae; Streptophyta; Magnoliopsida; Poales; Poaceae. The record is from Rfam by way of RNAcentral.